GACGAACCGUGCGAACGUUGUUCGGAAUCACUGGGCUUAAAGGGCGCGUAGGCGGUCUUCCCCGUCCGGGGUGAAAUCUUUCGGCCCAACCGGAAAAGGGCCCCGGAAACAGGAAGACUGGAGGGGGAUAGGGGCGGACGGAACUUCCGGUGGAGCGGUGAAAUGCGUUGAUAUCGGAAGGAACGCCGGUGGCGAAAGCGGUCCGCUGGGUCCCUACUGACGCUGAGGCGCGAAAGCCAGGGGAG
RNAcentral lists this ribosomal RNA (245 nucleotides) under uncultured bacterium. RNAcentral describes it as "partial 16S ribosomal RNA". It matches the Rfam family "Bacterial small subunit ribosomal RNA", at positions 524 to 768 of the family's 1533-position model. The record is from RNAcentral.